UACAGAGGUGGCAAGCGUUGUUCGGAAUUACUGGGCGUAAAGGGCGCGUAGGCGGUCGAUUAAGUCCCGUGUGAAAUCCCUCGGCUCAACUGAGGAACUGCACGGGAAACUGGCUGACUUGAGUUCGGGAGAGGGAAGCGGAAUUCCGGGUGUAGCGGUGAAAUGCGUAGAUAUCCGGAGGAACACCGGUGGCGAAGGCGGCUUCCUGGACCGAUACUGACACUGAGGCGCGAAAGCUAGGGGAGCAAACGGG
Molecule: ribosomal RNA, 253 nt
Filed under: uncultured bacterium
Lineage: Bacteria
Description: partial 16S ribosomal RNA
Rfam family: Bacterial small subunit ribosomal RNA
Source: RNAcentral